Molecule: ribosomal RNA, 493 nt
Filed under: uncultured bacterium
Lineage: Bacteria
Description: bacterial SSU rRNA
Rfam family: Bacterial small subunit ribosomal RNA
Source: RNAcentral
GAUGAACGCUAGCUACAGGCUUAACACAUGCAAGUCGAGGGGAAACGACAUCGAAAGCUUGCUUUUGAUGGGCGUCGACCGGCGCACGGGUGAGUAACGCGUAUCCAACCUGCCCACCACUUGGGGAUAACCUUGCGAAAGUAAGACUAAUACCCAAUGAUAUCCCACGAAGGCAUCGGAAUGGGAUUAAAGAUUUAUCGGUGAUGGAUGGGGAUGCGUCUGAUUAGCUUGUUGGCGGGGUAACGGCCCACCAAGGCAACGAUCAGUAGGGGUUCUGAGAGGAAGGUCCCCCCACAUUGGAACUGAGACACGGUCCAAACUCCUACGGGAGGCAGCAGUGAGGAAUAUUGGUCAAUGGGCGAGAGCCUGAACCAGCCAAGUAGCGUGCAGGACGACGGCCCUAUGGGUUGUAAACUGCUUUUAUAAGGGAAUAAAGUGAGUCUCGUGAGACUUUUUGCAUGUACCUUAUGAAUAAGGACCGGCUAAUUCCGUG